AUUGAACGCUGGCGGCAGGCCUAACACAUGCAAGUCGAACGAGUGGCGGACGGGGGAGUAAUGUCAGGGAAACUGCCAGAUGGAGGGGGAUAACUACUGGAAACGGUAGCUAAUACCGCAUACAAUCGGAUGUGCCCAGGUGGGAUUAGCUUGUAGGGGAGGUAACGGCUCACCUAGGCGACGAUCCCUAGCUGGUCUUAGAGGUUGACCAGCCACUCUGGCACUGAUGCACGGUCCAGCCUCCUACGGGAGGCCGCAGUGUGGAAUCUUGCACGAUUGGCGCAAGCCUUAUGCAGCCAUGCCGCGUGUAUGAAGAAGGCCUUCGGGUUGUAAAGUACUUUCAGCGGUGAGGCGUUACCCGCCGAAGAAGCCCCGGCUAACUCCGUGCCAGCCGCCGCGGUAAUAC
This 406-nucleotide ribosomal RNA is filed under the name uncultured bacterium. RNAcentral's name for it is "partial 16S ribosomal RNA". It matches the Rfam family "Bacterial small subunit ribosomal RNA", at positions 30 to 526 of the family's 1533-position model. The record is from RNAcentral.